Molecule: long non-coding RNA, 2080 nt
Organism: Gorilla gorilla gorilla (western lowland gorilla)
Lineage: Eukaryota; Metazoa; Chordata; Mammalia; Primates; Hominidae
Exons: 3
Source: RefSeq, a predicted model, not a curated record
UGGACAGCUCCUGGGUCAGUUGAUGAUCAGCUAAGACCAGAAAGAGGCCCAGACACUGCUUAACCGAUAGGUCUAGUUAAGCCCUUGGAGUCUGUUUAAACCACUCAGAGUGGGUCUGAGGAUUGGGACACAUCCACAAACUGUUGCCGGCAUAGGAUGAAAAAGGUACAAAAAUUGAGGCACAGCUAACCUAGAGAUGGCACCUGGAGCAUCUGGGAUUUUCAGGAGGAGCUGUUGCAACAGGGCUGGCUCAGGGUCAUCCCUCUACCCACCACCCAAGGCGGCAUCUCAGAUCCAGAUCACAAGACCAGCAUUCCCAGCUGUUAGACCCAUCUCUUCCCUAAACAAGGGGCUGGCUACACUCCAACAGUUAUUUGUGUUACCCCUACCCUGUGCCAGCCACCCUGCCCAAAGCCAUGGACAAAAUGAUGCUCAGACCUCAAGGAGUUUGUGGGCUGAAGAGGGAAGAGAGGCAAGAAAAGGAGGCAGUGGGAGGUAGUGCCAAGUUUGGACUGGGUCUGUCCGCCAGCUUACGGGAGGCAGAGGCUCCAGGAAUAAAUCCUGUCCGCAGGGAACAGUGCAUCUGCUCCGAGAUCUCACUGGGGUCCUCCCUCCCAGCGCAGAGGCCAAGAGGAGGGGGCCAAGCCAUCAUGGUCUCUCUGGAUUUGUUUGCUAAGGACAGUUGUAACAAAGUACAAGAGAUUUAUUGUCUCACAGGUCUGGGGACAGGAAGUCUGAAAUUGCGGGGUAGGCAGGGCUGGUUCCUUCUGGAGGCUCCAAGGGGAGUCUGUUCCGUGCCCCCUCCCCACUCUGGUGGCUGCCGGCUGGCCACACCAUUCCUUGGCCUUGGCUCACAGCUGUGUCACUGCAGUCUCUGCCUCCCUCUUCACAUGGCCUUCUCCUGGUGCCUGCUUCUAAGGACAACAGUCGUUUUGGAGUAGGGCCCAUCCUGCUCCAGGGUGACCUCAUCCUCACCAUCUGCAACAAUCCUAUUUCCAAAUAAGGCCACAUUCUGAGGUUCUGGGUGAGCAUGAAUUUGGGAAGGACUCUCCUCAACCUGCUACCAUCUCUGUAGGGACCGUGGCUGGUGCUCCCAGAGCCUCUUGCCUUGCACUGUGACUGUUGCCGGCAUUAGGCAGUGAGCAGAUAGAGAAUUUGUGGGAUAUGAGCAGAGUUGGAUGGAGCAGGGACCUCUUGACAGGUCUCCAAGAACUAGAGAAGGCCAGGAGGAGUUCCUGGACCUAAGACGGGAAUUGGGAGGGGACUGGGAGCAUGUGAUCCAGGCCUGUGGUGGGGACCAGGUUAGAAACGGGGCCGAUGCCACGGGCCCAACUUUCCAGACAGCACCUGAGAAACCCUGGCGACGAGCGGGAUUUGGCACUGCCCUUUGACUUCUCUUGAAAGGGUGGCUCUUAGCAAACCAACUUACUUUAGGGCCCCUCCAAUUCUCCCUCCACAUAUAGCUAUUAAAACUGCCCUGAGCUCUAUUUCCACACCAAUGAAGGUAAAGAGCUUAUUCGACUUUCGGGGUCGGGGGGAGAGGAGCCAAGUUGGUAUCAUGGUGACAAUGGCCAAGCCUCCCAAGACCCACUGCAUGUCUGGGCUAUCUCAGGGUAGCCCUGAGAAAGUUCAGUGAAUUUAAUUUAAUGCAGCGAACUUAAAGCAACUUUCUUUUGAAAAUGCACUGGGUGUUUUGAAAUUUAAACGUAGGUUGGGUCCUCCUAGUACUCUGGGGCAUUUAGAAAGACAAUAUCUUGAAAAGAAUCUGAAUACAGAGUAGUCACCAUUCUAAAAGGCAGCCUUCGACGACUCCAAUUCAUUCAUUCUUUCGACCAUGCAAUAAAUACCAAUGUCACGCUAUGUGCCAGGCAGUGUUGUAGCUGCUGGGGACAGAGCAGGGGACAGUGCAGGUGCAGUGUCUAUCCUCAUUCCAGCUGCAAUCACAGGAGAGAGAUGUUGAGAAUCAGUAACAUGAAUGGGCUUUUGAGCAUCAUCCGUGCUCAGGGGAAAAAUCAGGCAUGACAGGGGUGGGAAAGUGUGCAGGCCACAAGGCCAGGGGACGAUUGCAAGUAGGAAUGUG